Molecule: long non-coding RNA, 1202 nt
Filed under: Oreochromis niloticus (Nile tilapia)
Lineage: Eukaryota; Metazoa; Chordata; Actinopteri; Cichliformes; Cichlidae
Description: lncRNA (ENSONIG00000023985.2)
Source: RNAcentral
AACUCUGUGGGAGUUUAUUUUUGUGUAAAUACAUCAUCAAACAGCCCCUAAUUCAGUCCCAAGCUACAGUAUAUAAGAUGAGCCGCUGCCACACUUUGACAAGUUCAUCAGCUGGUAACAAACCUGCUCACAGCUCAGAUCUAGACUCAGAUUUGGUGCCUUUCAGCGUCUCAACAUGUGUUCGAGUCUCUCCACCAGCCGCCUGAUUCUUCUGAUCUCCCUGAGUGUGAUGAUGCUCAUCUUUGUAUCAGGGGCUGACCACGUGGGACAAACCUGCUAUAAAACAUAUUCUAACAGUGGUGUAAUAAACACGUCUACACCUAAAUGGGCAAAAAACAUCAUCAGCUGCUUUGAAGAUGACAGACGUGGCUGCCUACAUGGCUAUGAGGUCAAAACACGUGCAGAAAGAACAUUUUUCCUCAGACCAAACACCCAGUGGAUAAAAAGGAAAAUAAAUGAGAAGACUCUGCUGUGUCCUCCACUGAUUUCUAAAUGAUGAUGAUGGAAAUGAUGAAACAGAAAUAUUUGUUAAGAAAUUUUGAUUAUUUUUGUAAAUUGUUUCUGGACCUUAAAAAUAGUCUUGUAGUAAUAUUUAUUAAAAAUGUCAUUAAAUAUGAAGGUUUGAAGUUUACUUAUUCUGUCUUCAAUCUGAAGCCAGAUUAAAAUAAAAGCCUUUAAAAUCAGAUUUAUAAUGAUGUGUGUGAUUAUUUAGUAUUUGCUGUGACAACAUAUUCUCAUGAUGAUGUCAUGAUCUCAGGACACCAGGAGGCACAGAUGGCAGAAAUCACUUGGAAAGUUUUCCACGAAUACAUAAACUAUCACCACAAGGACACAUAAAUGGAUGCUCUACAAACUAGAAACACAAAGAUGUUCAACUAGAGGAAAAAACACAAAGAUGAUGAAUUAAACUGGAUGAAAAGAUUAAAGUGAGAGAAAGUCGCAAAACUGUGAGGUGCUGUGUGUGAGAUGUGUAUAAAAUGUAGCUGUAUACAAAAUAAAAUAACUAAUAUGAAAAUGAACACAUCAAAUACCCCCAUGACUCUAACAUAGGAGACACAUUAGAGACUGCAGGUUGCCUGUUUAUGUAAUUAUACUUACACAUUAGACUUAGACUGCAAAUGACUGACUCCACUCCUCACACCUUAGUGCCCCCCCACUACAGAAGAAAAAGAGGAGAUAACAGGAUGUUAACACACAUCUUU